RNAcentral lists this ribosomal RNA (422 nucleotides) under uncultured bacterium. RNAcentral's name for it is "bacterial SSU rRNA". It matches the Rfam family "Bacterial small subunit ribosomal RNA", at positions 355 to 774 of the family's 1533-position model. The record is from RNAcentral.
UAGGGAAUAUUGGACAAUGGAGGCAACUCUGAUCCAGCCAUGCCGCGUGAAGGAAUAAGGCCCUAUGGGUUGUAAACUUCUUUUAGACGGGACAAAACCCCUUUACGUGUAAAGGGUUGAUGGUACUGUCAGAAUAAGCAUCGGCUAACUUCGUGCCAGCAGCCGCGGUAAUACGUAGGUGACAAGCGUUAUCCGGAAUUACUGGGCGUAAAGCGCACGCAGGCGGCUGAUUAAGUUUGACGUGAAAUCUCCUGGCUUAACUGGGAGGGGUCGUUGGAAACUGGUCGGCUGGAGGGAGUGAGAGGGCUGUGGAAUUCCUGGUGUAGUGGUGGAAUGCGUAGAUAUCGGGAGGAACACCAGUGGCGAAAGCGGCGCCCUGGCACUGGCCUGACGCUCAUGUGCGAAAGCGUGGGGAGCGAACG